This 496-nucleotide ribosomal RNA is filed under the name uncultured bacterium. Its description in RNAcentral is "partial 16S ribosomal RNA". It matches the Rfam family "Bacterial small subunit ribosomal RNA", at positions 28 to 506 of the family's 1533-position model. The record is from RNAcentral.
GAUGAACGCUGGCGGUGUGCCUAAUACAUGCAAGUCGAGCGAACAGACGAGGAGCUUACUCCUCUGACGUUAGCGGCGGACGGGUGAGUAACACGUGGAUAACCUACCUAUAAGACUGGGAUAACUUCGGGAAACCGGAGCUAAUACCGGAUAACAUGUUGAACCGCAUGGUUCAACAGUGAAAGACGGUCUUGCUGUCACUUAUAGAUGGAUCCGCGUCGCAUUAGCUAGUUGGUAAGGUAACGGCUUACCAAGGCAACGAUGCGUAGCCGACCUGAGAGGGUGAUCGGCCACACUGGAACUGAGACACGGUCCAGACUCCUACGGGAGGCAGCAGUAGGGAAUCUUCCGCAAUGGGCGAAAGCCUGACGGAGCAACGCCGCGUGAGUGAAGAAGGUCUUCGGAUCGUAAAACUCUGUUAUUAGGGAAGAACAAAUGUGUAAGUAACGAUGCACGUCUUGACGGUACCUAAUCAGAAAGCCACGGCUAACUACGU